UUGCAAGCUGAAUAGCAGCUGCUACCAUACAAAGUGCAGGGGGGCGCAAAGCUGGAAAUAGCCGAACUUCAUUAAUUGCAAGUUGACUAGCAGAAUACAUGAAGUACAGCAAGGAGACUUAGUCAUAUGGGCUGCAUAGCCAAUAGGGCGCAUAAUUAAGUUAGAUUUAAGUAGAUUUAAAUUUGAAUUUUAGGCGCAAGCGCCGUCAGAUAUGUUCGCUGCACAUAUACAUAUAUGUGCCGAAAAUAAACUUUUGUAUUGUAGCCGAGA
RNAcentral lists this small RNA (270 nucleotides) under Drosophila mojavensis. RNAcentral describes it as "GI26838". The record is from RNAcentral. Lineage: Eukaryota; Metazoa; Arthropoda; Insecta; Diptera; Drosophilidae.